GGAUUGUGGCUCAGUGGCAGAGCACUUGCCUCACAUAUAUAAGGCACUAGGUUCGAUCCUUAGCACCA
Molecule: transfer RNA, 68 nt
Filed under: Marmota monax (woodchuck)
Lineage: Eukaryota; Metazoa; Chordata; Mammalia; Rodentia; Sciuridae
Description: tRNA.Val
Source: RNAcentral